Molecule: non-coding RNA, 32 nt
Filed under: Homo sapiens (human)
Lineage: Eukaryota; Metazoa; Chordata; Mammalia; Primates; Hominidae
Source: RNAcentral
GGUGUCGGGGUUGGGGUCUGUGUGCCGGUGGG